UUGAGUUUGAAGAGUUAUUGUUGUGUUCAUUUUGGACAGCCAUGGAGUCAUGUAUUUGAUGAAAUAAUUGUGCAUAUAUUUGAUGAGAAAUGAUGUUGAUCAUGAUGAUUUAAUAACCUAGUGAAUUACUUCAUAUUUAUAUGGUGAUUUUUGGCACUUGGAUGAGAAUUGAUGAAUUGUAGGGCAAUUUGGUGUUGAAGAAGAUUUUCGGCAGCUUGGGGACACUUGAAUAAAUUUACCAAAGACUCAGGAAAAGGGAAGGAAACACUGAGUCCAGACCGAGAGACAGUCAUCAGAGGUAAGAAGAGCAUAGAGCAGUGAUUAAGUUGCUUUGAGGACACUUUCAGAUAAGCUCCAGGUAUAUCAUAGGUAUACCCAUGUACAUAGGUUUUGAUGUAUGUAUGUAAUAAUAUGUAUGUAAAUUAUUUGAGCAGUUGUAUAAAAACUCUUGUAAAAUAUUUUGGUAUGUAAUUAAAUGUAAAUUAUCGUGAA
Molecule: long non-coding RNA, 492 nt
Organism: Hevea brasiliensis (rubber tree)
Lineage: Eukaryota; Viridiplantae; Streptophyta; Magnoliopsida; Malpighiales; Euphorbiaceae
Exons: 3
Source: RefSeq, a predicted model, not a curated record